This 74-nucleotide transfer RNA is filed under the name Comamonas testosteroni. RNAcentral's name for it is "tRNA-Ile(gat)". Lineage: Bacteria; Pseudomonadati; Pseudomonadota; Betaproteobacteria; Burkholderiales; Comamonadaceae. The record is from RNAcentral.
GUCCGAGAUGGCACGCGGGGAGAUUCCCGUGCUGAUAGCGCGGGCGCCCGAGUUCUACGGCCCGGCCCAGACGC